CACCAUAGAUUUCAUUAUCGAAAUCACAAUACAACCAUUAGUAUCACAAACAACCACCAUAAAAUUCAACAUAUCCACUACUAAAAUUGCAAUCGGAAUCACAAUAUCACUAUUGUUAACAUCCAAAGUUACAAAAAUUACCUCAAAUUUGCACCUGCAACACUACUAAAUUCUAAUGACGCCUUACAAUUGGCAAUGAAACUUCCCCUUCCCCUUCCCCUUUUGUCUUUCUCUUCCCACACCUGCCGCAUCAAAAUUUCAUCUUUCAACACAUAAGCCACUUGUCCGAAAAAUACAAACAGUUGAUGCACCACAAGAUUCACAUAGAAACAGUUGAUGCACCACGAAAUUUCUUUGACCUCCAAAGCACAUAAAAAACACCUUCCUCGAAUCUGUCUCCUUGUAAUUUCAUCCCAAGAUCAAAAAGUAUCGAUUGAAAACUUUUACUUUUCUUCAGAAAAUAAAAUUUCGGGGACCUUCACUUUUUUCUUUGUCGUCGUCUAUCUCACGACUCAUCCUUAUUGAGAAGCCUUUGAAUCUUGAUGCUCUGUUACUUUAUUCGUUUGUUGGUGAAGUUCCUUUUUAGAGGUGAUGGGAAAGAUGAAUGAGGUAAGGAAGAUGACUUGAAAAUUUUUAUUUAAAAAUAAUUUUUAAAAUUAUUUUUGACGUGAAAAGUGACAUGGAGCGAGUGAAGUACACUCCACUCAUUGAAC
This 713-nucleotide long non-coding RNA is filed under the name Capsicum annuum. RNAcentral's name for it is "long non-coding RNA (CANN_LNC000450)". Lineage: Eukaryota; Viridiplantae; Streptophyta; Magnoliopsida; Solanales; Solanaceae. The record is from RNAcentral.